UGGCUCAGUCAGUUGAGCGUGGCGCUAACAACGCUAAGGUCACGGGUUCAAUUCCCGU
Molecule: transfer RNA, 58 nt
Filed under: Apaloderma vittatum (bar-tailed trogon)
Lineage: Eukaryota; Metazoa; Chordata; Aves; Trogoniformes; Trogonidae
Rfam family: tRNA
About the family: Transfer RNA (tRNA) molecules are approximately 80 nucleotides in length.
Source: Rfam by way of RNAcentral